RNAcentral lists this microRNA precursor (61 nucleotides) under Pelobates cultripes (western spadefoot toad). Lineage: Eukaryota; Metazoa; Chordata; Amphibia; Anura; Pelobatidae. The record is from RNAcentral.
UAGAGCUGCAAUGUACACAUUGCAGUUCUCUGCAACUGCAAUGUUUUGCAUUGCAGUACUA